RNAcentral lists this ribosomal RNA (157 nucleotides) under uncultured bacterium WB12. RNAcentral's name for it is "partial 16S ribosomal RNA". It matches the Rfam family "Bacterial small subunit ribosomal RNA", at positions 338 to 494 of the family's 1533-position model. The record is from RNAcentral.
CCUACGGGAGGCAGCAGUGAGGAAUAUUGGACAAUGGGCGCAAGCCUGAUCCAGCCAUGCCGCGUGCAGGAAGAAGGUCCUAUGGAUUGUAAACUGCUUUUAUACAGGAAGAAACACUUCUACGUGUAGAGAUGACGGUACUGUANGAAUAAGGUCG